This 935-nucleotide long non-coding RNA is filed under the name Homo sapiens (human). RNAcentral's name for it is "HSALNT0366101". Lineage: Eukaryota; Metazoa; Chordata; Mammalia; Primates; Hominidae. The record is from RNAcentral.
UGCAGAGCUGAGCUAGCUGGGAAAUGCCUAUUGCAGGUCAGACAUCUCGGGUGGGGUUGGACAUGCCCCUCCAGGAGACGAGUCAAGCCCUCAUCCUGGUGCUGCACUGCUGAGGAUCCCUGGUGAUCAAGCGGCAGUGUCAGGGGCUGAGGCUGGGGCAGGCUGCUCUCUCUGUCUCCGCCAGAGGCACUGUUGUGUCACAACUACCAGAGCAGUCCCUCUGAAGCCCCAAAGCCAGACCCAGAGGCCUGCCUGGGAGUGGGACUGAGAGCAGUGGCUCUGAGCAGAAGAUGGAGAUGGUCAAGGCCCCACAUCGAGGGUUGCAAUCUUGUCAUCCAUAACUCUUAUAAGAAUGAGCCCUGGCCUGGAAGAGAGGCCAAAUGUCUAAUCAGCAGGCCUGGAACACCGCCGGUGCCAAGAAAGAGCCAAGCAGCCACUCCCUGGGGCUGGCUGCAGAUGAGGCCCUUGUGGUUUCCCCACUCACUGACUACGGGGAGGAGGGUGUGCAAGGACUUUGUCUGGGAAGAAUCUUUGCAUCUGUAGCUCAACAGGCUUCUCUCUCCAGGCCCCUGGGUUUCAAAAGACUGUGACUUCCACCUUGGUUUGCUCGGUCUGAUGAAGGAACUUUGAGCUGUGAGCUGCACUGUGAACUUUGCUGUGAGCUGCCCUGUGAUGGGAGAGGAGGCCUCCGCCUCACAGCCCUGGAGGACCUCAAUGCUGCCAACGUGUGACCAGAUGCAGAUCCUUCUCCAGUCAAGCCUGGACAUGACAUGACAGCAGCCCUGGGGACCUUGAUGCUGUGGCCUGUGCAAGACCCUGAGCCAGCCGCACCCAGAUCCCUCACCCACAGAAACUGCCAGAUUUUAAGUCUUCUGCUUGUAAGCCACUCUUUUUGCCAUAGUUUGUGUGCAGCAAUAGAUAACUGCUCUAGAGUU